GACGAACGCUGGCGGCGUGCUUAACACAUGCAAGUCGAACGGAAAGGCUCUGCUUUUGUGGGGUGCUCGAGUGGCGAACGGGUGAGUAACACGUGUGUAACCUGCCCUUGACUUUGGGAUAACUUCAGGAAACUGGGGCUACUACCGGCUAGGAGCUCCUGCUUCAUGGUGGGGGUUGGAAAUUUUCGGCUGUUGGUGAUGGACUCGCGGCUUAUCAGCUUGUUGGUGGGGUAGUGGCUUACCAAGCCGUUGACGGGUAGCCGGCCUGAGUGGGUGACCGGCCACAUUGGGACUGAGAUACGGCCCAGACUCCUACGGGAGGCAGCAGUGGGGAAUAUUGCACAAUGGGCGGAAGCCUGAUGCAGCAACGCCGCGUGCGGGAUGACGGCCUUCGGGUUGUAAACCGCUUGCGCCUGUGACGAAGCGUGAGUGACGGUAAUGGGUAAAGAAGCACCGGCUAACUACGUG
Molecule: ribosomal RNA, 468 nt
Filed under: uncultured bacterium
Lineage: Bacteria
Description: partial 16S ribosomal RNA
Rfam family: Bacterial small subunit ribosomal RNA
Source: RNAcentral